UUAAGUUAGAAAGGGCGCACGGUGGAUGCCUUGACACUAGGAGUCGAUGAAGGACGGGACUAACGCCGAUAUGCUUCGGGGAGCUGUAAGUAAGCUUUGAUCCGAAGAUUUCCGAAUGGGGAAACCCACCAUACGUAAUGGUAUGGUAUCCUUAUCUGAAUACAUAGGGUAAGGAAGACAGACCCAGGGAACUGAAACAUCUAAGUACCUGGAGGAAGAGAAAGCAAAUGCGAUUUCCUGAGUAGCGGCGAGCGAAACGGAACAUAGCCCAAACCAAGAGGCUUGCCUCUUGGGGUUGUAGGACAUUCUAUACGGAGUUACAAAGGAACGAGGUAGACGAAGCGACCUGGAAAGGUCCGUCGUAGAGGGUAACAACCCCGUAGUCGAAACUUCGUUCUCUCUUGAAUGUAUCCUGAGUACGGCGGAACACGUGAAAUUCCGUCGGAAUCUGGGAGGACCAUCUCCCAAGGCUAAAUACUCCCUAGUGAUCGAUAGUGAACCAGUACCGUGAGGGAAAGGUGAAAAGCACCCCGGAAGGGGAGUGAAAGAGAUCCUGAAACCGUGUGCCUACAAAUAGUCAGAGCCCGUUAAUGGGUGAUGGUGUGCCUUUUGUAGAAUGAACCGGCGAGUUACGAUCCCGUGCGAGGUUAAGCUGAAGAGGCGGAGCCGCAGCGAAAGCGAGUCUGAAUAGGGCGUUUAGUACGUGGUCGUAGACCCGAAACCAGGUGAUCUACCCAUGUCCAGGGUGAAGUUCAGGUAACACUGAAUGGAGGCCCGAACCCACGCACGUUGAAAAGUGCGGGGAUGAGGUGUGGGUAGCGGAGAAAUUCCAAUCGAACCUGGAGAUAGCUGGUUCUCCCCGAAAUAGCUUUAGGGCUAGCCUUAAGUGUAAGAGUCUUGGAGGUAGAGCACUGAUUGGACUAGGGGUCCUCAUCGGAUUACCGAAUUCAGUCAAACUCCGAAUGCCAAUGACUUAUCCUUAGGAGUCAGACUGCGAGUGAUAAGAUCCGUAGUCAAAAGGGAAACAGCCCAGACCGCCAGCUAAGGUCCCAAAGUGUGUAUUAAGUGGAAAAGGAUGUGGAGUUGCUUAGACAACUAGGAUGUUGGCUUAGAAGCAGCCACCAUUUAAAGAGUGCGUAAUAGCUCACUAGUCGAGUGACUCUGCGCCGAAAAUGUACCGGGGCUAAAUACACCACCGAAGCUGCGGAUUGAUACCAAUGGUAUCAGUGGUAGGGGAGCGUUCUAAGGACAGUGAAGUCAGACCGGAAGGACUGGUGGAGUGCUUAGAAGUGAGAAUGCCGGUAUGAGUAGCGAAAGACGGGUGAGAAUCCCGUCCACCGAAUGCCUAAGGUUUCCUGAGGAAGGCUCGUCCGCUCAGGGUUAGUCAGGACCUAAGCCGAGGCCGACAGGCGUAGGCGAUGGCAACAGGUUGAUAUUCCUGUACCACCUCUUUAUCGUUUGAGCAAUGGAGGGACGCAGAAGGAUAGAAGAAGCGUGCGAUUGGUUGUGCACGUCCAAGCAGUUAGGCUGAUAAGUAGGCAAAUCCGCUUAUCGUGAAGGCUGAGCUGUGAUGGGGAAGCUCCUUAUGGAGCGAAGUCUUUGAUUCCCCGCUGCCAAGAAAAGCUUCUAGCGAGAUAAAAGGUGCCUGUACCGCAAACCGACACAGGUAGGCGAGGAGAGAAUCCUAAGGUGUGCGAGAGAACUCUGGUUAAGGAACUCGGCAAAAUGACCCCGUAACUUCGGGAGAAGGGGUGCUUUCUUAACGGAAAGCCGCAGUGAAUAGGCCCAAGCGACUGUUUAGCAAAAACACAGCUCUCUGCGAAGCCGUAAGGCGAAGUAUAGGGGGUGACACCUGCCCGGUGCUGGAAGGUUAAGGAGAGGGGUUAGCGUAAGCGAAGCUCUGAACUGAAGCCCCAGUAAACGGCGGCCGUAACUAUAACGGUCCUAAGGUAGCGAAAUUCCUUGUCGGGUAAGUUCCCGACCCGCACGAAAGGUGUAACGAUUUGGGCACUGUCUCAACCAGAGACUCGGUGAAAUUAUAGUACCUGUGAAGAUGCAGGUUACCCGCGACAGGACGGAAAGACCCCGUGGAGCUUUACUGUAGCCUGAUAUUGAAUUUUGGUACAGUUUGUACAGGAUAGGCGGGAGCCUUUGAAACCGGAGCGCUAGCUUCGGUGGAGGCGCUGGUGGGAUACCGCCCUGACUGUAUUGAAAUUCUAACCUACGGGUCUUAUCGACCCGGGAGACAGUGUCAGGUGGGCAGUUUGACUGGGGCGGUCGCCUCCUAAAGUGUAACGGAGGCGCCCAAAGGUUCCCUCAGAAUGGUUGGAAAUCAUUCGUAGAGUGCAAAGGCAUAAGGGAGCUUGACUGCGAGACCUACAAGUCGAGCAGGGACGAAAGUCGGGCUUAGUGAUCCGGUGGUUCCGCAUGGAAGGGCCAUCGCUCAACGGAUAAAAGCUACCCCGGGGAUAACAGGCUUAUCUCCCCCAAGAGUCCACAUCGACGGGGAGGUUUGGCACCUCGAUGUCGGCUCAUCGCAUCCUGGGGCUGUAGUCGGUCCCAAGGGUUGGGCUGUUCGCCCAUUAAAGCGGUACGCGAGCUGGGUUCAGAACGUCGUGAGACAGUUCGGUCCCUAUCCGUCGUGGGCGUAGGAAAUUUGAGAGGAGCUGUCCUUAGUACGAGAGGACCGGGAUGGACGCACCGCUGGUGUACCAGUUGUUCUGCCAAGGGCAUAGCUGGGUAGCUAUGUGCGGAAGGGAUAAGUGCUGAAAGCAUCUAAGCAUGAAGCCCCCCUCAAGAUGAGAUUUCCCAUAGCGUAAGCUAGUAAGAUCCCUGAAAGAUGAUCAGGUUGAUAGGUUCGAGGUGGAAGCAUGGUGACAUGUGGAGCUGACGAAUACUAAUAGAUCGAGGACUUAACCAU
RNAcentral lists this ribosomal RNA (2920 nucleotides) under Bacillus anthracis (anthrax bacterium). RNAcentral's name for it is "bacterial LSU rRNA". It matches the Rfam family "Bacterial large subunit ribosomal RNA". Lineage: Bacteria; Bacillati; Bacillota; Bacilli; Caryophanales; Bacillaceae. The record is from RNAcentral.